AGUGAACGCUGGCGGUAGGCCUAACACAUGCAAGUCGAACGGCAGCACAGUAAGAGCUUGCUCUUACGGGUGGCGAGUGGCGGACGGGUGAGGAAUACAUCGGAAUCUACUUUUUCGUGGGGGAUAACGUAGGGAAACUUACGCUAAUACCGCAUACGACCUACGGGUGAAAGCAGGGGAUCUUCGGACCUUGCGCGAUUGAAUGAGCCGAUGUCGGAUUAGCUAGUUGGCGGGGUAAAGGCCCACCAAGGCGACGAUCCGUAGCUGGUCUGAGAGGAUGAUCAGCCACACUGGAACUGAGACACGGUCCAGACUCCUACGGGAGGCAGCAGUGGGGAAUAUUGGACAAUGGGCGCAAGCCUGAUCCAGCCAUACCGCGUGGGUGAAGAAGGCCUUCGGGUUGUAAAGCCCUUUUGUUGGGAAAGAAAAGCAGCAGGUUAAUACCCCGCUGUUCUGACGGUCCCAAAGAAUAAGCACCGGCUAACUUCGUG
Molecule: ribosomal RNA, 491 nt
Filed under: uncultured bacterium
Lineage: Bacteria
Description: partial 16S ribosomal RNA
Rfam family: Bacterial small subunit ribosomal RNA
Source: RNAcentral